Xyrauchen texanus (razorback sucker) is the source of this 178-nucleotide small nucleolar RNA. RefSeq annotates it as small nucleolar RNA SNORA23. The transcript has a single exon. The record is from RefSeq and is a predicted model, not a curated record. NCBI's taxonomy places the organism in Eukaryota, Metazoa, Chordata, Actinopteri, Cypriniformes, Catostomidae.
GGUGGACGGUGUGCGUAGUGUCUGUCUGCAUUUAGGGCCAUCUCUCAGUCUGUCUUACAGGCUGUGUGACUGUUCUCAUGCGUCACUCACACACAGAGACACUGGAGAUCAUAGUACUGGCCCAGUGAUGUCUUCAUGACCCUCCACCACUAGCCAGCCUCCAUAGUCUCCUACAAAA